Molecule: long non-coding RNA, 909 nt
Organism: Fundulus heteroclitus (mummichog)
Lineage: Eukaryota; Metazoa; Chordata; Actinopteri; Cyprinodontiformes; Fundulidae
Exons: 3
Source: RefSeq, a predicted model, not a curated record
UUUAUUAAGCAUAUUUUAUGCAUUUAUCAUGUCAGGCACAGUCACCUGAAGGAGCAGAGAAUGAAACCCAGAAGGCAAAGGCCAGAGGGUUUCUCUACAUUAUGAAGAAUGAGGCCAUCAUCAAAAUCCCUGGCUUCCUUCAUGACUUGCUGGCUCAGCUCAGUAGCCUGUCCCUAACCAUGCAGCGAUCCUUAGUGACCCAAGGCCGAAGUUCAUGAGAGCCUGUCCUCCACCCAGGCUUUAAUGUGCAAACACAAAUCCAGGUACAACCACAAAAACAGACUGUAUUUAUCAUUAGUUUUACGUUUAGUGUCUUACAUGAAUAAUAACAUCAUAAGAUUAAGUCUCUUUCUCUCUCUUAUAAAUUAUAGACCUGGGCCCAUGCUGAAGAAAGUGCUGAGAAUGAAUCAGUAGGAGGGUGUCAGCCUAAAGCCAUCUGACGACCAUUACCUGAAUCAGCCCAAGGACCAUCUCAUAAAUCUCCGACAAUGGACAACAGGUUUGGAGAUGUAAGCCAUGGGAUCCUACGUGCCAUGCGGAUUACCCACUUCCGAUACGGUCCAGAGGCAGAUAGAAAUGCGGAUUUUGGAGACUCUGGUGUGCAGGAGCUCAUCGCCCACUUUGAGCCUGUGCUGAUGAUAUCUGGGGUGAAAGUAGGAGAAGUCCUGGACCAGUGGACUGUUCUCAAGUCAAGACUGUACCAUGACCAAUAUUUUUAAAAACAUCUCCUGGUCAGAAGUUAAUUGGCAGCUUGGCCAGGUCUGCCCGUCCUUUGCAUCCCUGCUUUAACAGCUGAUUGUGAGCGGGGAUUUAGUGCCAUGAAGCUGACUUUGAUCCAGCCCCUGCCGUCAAGUUGGAAGCCUGCGGUCUCGAAGGCCAGUUUUCAUGGAGCACAGAGACAAGCAGACA